UACAUUAAUAUUGUUCGGAAA
Non-coding RNA from Caenorhabditis elegans, 21 nucleotides. NCBI's taxonomy places the organism in Eukaryota, Metazoa, Nematoda, Chromadorea, Rhabditida, Rhabditidae. The record is from Ensembl.